Long non-coding RNA from Amphiprion ocellaris (clown anemonefish), 2420 nucleotides. RefSeq lists it as uncharacterized. NCBI's taxonomy places the organism in Eukaryota, Metazoa, Chordata, Actinopteri, Pomacentridae. The record is from RefSeq and is a predicted model, not a curated record. The transcript is spliced from 4 exons.
CGCACAAAAAAAAAAAAAAUCCAACCUAAAUUGUAAAUAAAAUAAACACGUAACAAUUCAUUCUGUGCUAUUUUUCAUUGUGAGUCAGUGAGUGACCGGUGACUGACUGCUGCAGCCAAUGAUGCGAUUCACAUACAUAUUUACCAUAGACUGUAUAGAAUGGUAUUUACGCAGCUAAUCAACGUCAUGCGUCCUUAUGUGCAGCCAUCGUUGUUCUCAUAGAUAUGAAUGAGUAGAUAGGACACGCCCCUUUGAGCUGAGUGCUACAGCGAGGCUAAGCUAGUGGGGGAAAAGUUUCAGUGCAUUCCGUUGAUGUAGACAUCGUGAAAAUGGAAACAAGUAUGCCGGCUCACUGUGCUGCAUACAAUUGCACACUGUGUCGUACGAUUGAGACAAGGAAACUUGGAAUGACUUUUCAUAGGUUUCCCAGAGACUAUGGGUUGAGGAGGAAUUGGAAGUUUGUCGGCUUAGACCUGGUGUCAUUCCAUCAGUGUUAAACUUCCCGGCUCAUCUUUGAAGAGUACGUGCCAGAAAGACCACGACCAAGCAGCCUUGAGAUCUUAGACAGCGUCUCCCUGAGACAUCCACCAACCACUGGAACACAUCUCCAAAGUUCUGCCGGGCCAGCUCAGCUUCCCCUCAGAAGAAGUUCCACCAGAUGAAGGAGCCUUUUGAGGGCAGCUGGCAUCGUGAUUGGACUGUACUUUGGUCUGUUCCAAUCCAGCUUCAGCUCCAGAGACGGCAGGCGGGACGAGUCAACGGAGGCCUGGUGGACGAAGGCAUGCAGCUGAGUACAAUCCAGAAAACAACAGAGGAGGAGUGCAGCAGCCAGAACAAGCAGAGUAGCAUCUCCAUCCUGGCCGACUUCAACACCUCUUCAUGACAACUUGUUCUGCCUCGGACCUCGUGGAAACUCCAGAAACUCGGGAAAACCUGUCGAGACUCGAAGAACUCGUGGAGACUCGAAGAACUCGUCGGGUGGGGGAAGGUGUGGUGGGCGGUGGAGGGAGGUGGGGGAGUAGAGGGGGGAGGCCACCACCCACCUCCCCGCCUACUCUCCGCCCUGACUCCACCCAGACUCCGCCUUGGCUCUGCCCAUGUGGUCACUUCACGAACUACGAUGUCAAAGGGACGACGAAUUUAUUUCUUUUCAUCUGAUCUGUAGCUCAGUGAGUUAAGGAUUUGCCUAUGGAGCUGCAGGUCGCUGGUUCAAGACCAGACCCUUCUUAAGUUUUCUCAAAAUUCUGACAAAGACAAAGAAAGAAAAAUGCCGGUGGUGGGUCUUGAACCUGCGACCUUCCAGUUGGUAGUCUUCUUCUUAUCCCCCUGAGCUACUCGCUCAGAUACUAAUUCUUCUUUUUUUUGCGCAUUUAUCAUCUAUUUUUUGUCGUUUUCGAGUUUUUUUUUUAACUCGAGUCUCGACUCGACCGUUUUUCUCAGGAGGCUGGACUUCGGCCUUUGUGCUGGAGGGUUGAACCCUCAGUUCCAAGACUUUCCAAAGCCUCCACACCUCCCGAGUCCUCUGGACCUGAGUUUUCAGACAGUCUGAGGGCUGAAAUUUUCUAAGUCCCACAGUAGUUCUCUGUUAGAUUUAACUUUCAGACAGUCCAAGGACUGAUAUCUUCAAAGUUCCUGAGUAGUUCUCUGUUAGUCUGAACCUUCAGACAGUCUGAGGACUGAAAUUUUCUAAGUCCCACAGUAGAUCUCUGUUAGAUUUAACUUUCAGACAGCCCAAGGACUGAUAUCUUCUAAGUUCCUGAGUAGUUCUCUGUUCGUUUGAACCUUUAGACAGUCUGAGGACUGAAAUUUUAAAAGUUUCUCAGUACUUCUCUGUUAGUUUGAACUUUCUGGUUAACAGAAGCCUUAAAACUUGUGACCAUGAGUCUUGAUUUCACAUUUAGACCAUCCAUCUGAGUUCUUCUCAGACCUUCAUAUGUGGGUUAUUUAGAAAUCCUGAACAAACUUUGAUUCUCUUCACUGAACAGUAAAGUUUGUGGAGAUCAGAAGGUAACAUUAGUUUGAUAAAUGCCUUCAACUACUAGUAGACUUUAUCUGGAAAGCAGUUUUCUGAAAUGAGUUCUUAGUAAAUCUGUCCACAAUCAAAUCAAGCGCACAGAAAGAGGAAGCGUUUGAAGAAACAACUUGAUGUUUUCAUUUCAGACUAGAAAACACUUUAAGGCCUUUAUUUGUUUUUGCUCUUUUUGAUCAUUUUAUUGUCUCUUCUGUUUAAUUUGAUCUUCUAAAGUUUAACUGGUGUCUUUUCAAAUGUUUUGUGUUUAGUUUGAUUCUUCUUAAAUGUUUAGUUUUGCUCUUUUCUCACCUUUUAUUCUGUUCUAAUGUCUGAUCUGAUUUCGAAAUGUUUUGUCUUUUUAAUGUUUAAUUGUUGUUUUUUCAAAUGUUUUAUCGGCUUGUUUGAAAAA